GCCAAGCCGGCUGGGUGCCAAUUAAUCACUCCAACACAAAACAAAGUCUGACCUUAGCGGGUGGGCUGGCUGAAGUGCAGAGAUCCAACCACUGCCACAUUCCGGCCUCUCUUUUUAUUAAGUCUGGCCGGGGGCGAGCACCGGUAGGUGACCCAAGGGUUAUUCCGUGCGCGUUGGUGGCAAUGGGCUGGUGAUCAAGCAGGUAUUUAUUUUCGGAUAAAUAAUCAACAUUUGACCUGAGUUCAGACGAGACUACCCGCCGAACUUAAGCAUAUCAAUAAGCGGAGGAAAAGAAACUAACUAGGAUUCCCUUAGUAACGGCGAGUGAAACGGGAUAAGCCCAACUUGAAAAUCUACAGGCUUUGUCUGUCGAAUUGUAGUCUAUAGAAGCAACCUCUGAGGCGGACCUGGAUUAAGUUCCCUGGAAGGGGACGUCAGAGAGGGUGAGAACCCCGUCAUCCUUGGUCUUAGCCUCUUCACGAGAUGCUUUCGCAGAGUCGGGUUGGUUGAGAAUCCAGCCCUAAUUGGGAGGUACAUCCCUUCUAAGGCUAAAUACCGGUAGGAGACCGAUAGCGAACAAGUACCGCGAGGGAAAGAUGAAAAGGCCUUUGAAAAGAGAGUUAAAAAGUGCUUGAAAUUGUUGAGGGGGAAGUGUAUUAGAGGCGUGGGUGCUUCUAGGCUGUAUGUAGGCUCUAACCGGCCUGCCCCUCAGUGCUAGAAGCUGGUCAGCAUGGUUUAGCUUAGCGGGAUAAAAGCAGAGGUUGUUACUUUGCCUAUGCCGCUUCGCUGAUCGAGGUCUAAGAGCGCUUUGCCCUUCGGGAGCUGCGUUCUCAUGAUGCUGGCGGAAGCC
RNAcentral lists this ribosomal RNA (850 nucleotides) under Tetraselmis suecica. RNAcentral's name for it is "eukaryotic LSU rRNA". The stretch from base 233 to 850 matches the Rfam family "Eukaryotic large subunit ribosomal RNA", at positions 1 to 637 of the family's 3401-position model. The record is from RNAcentral. Lineage: Eukaryota; Viridiplantae; Chlorophyta; Chlorodendrophyceae; Chlorodendrales; Chlorodendraceae.